AUAAAUCUUUAAGGGGAAGGUUCCCGGAUCUGUGAUCUGUGACAAGGCAAGUAUUUCAAUCGACGGGAGAAACUACCUGCCACUCACGCGAACAUCUGAGCCGCUUAAAAUGUCUUCGUCUGCGUUUAAAUAUAAAUAUAUAUAUUAUUUCCCAGAAGCAGGACGUUCUUUUCACAACGUUUGCAGCACACUCUGCUGGCUGAUGUCGAAAGUAAAACCAAGCCCACGUGACGGGCUAGAAAGCACCGAGUAUUUUUUGACACAGCAGAGGCACAGUCUAUGCAGGGCUGCGGGCUCCGUCCAUUCUCCUUUUCCUUUCGCUUGUGGGCCACGCACAGCCACGGGAAGCCAGCGGCCGGCUUUUUGCCGAAAAAAAGGAAAAAAAUGAGGUACCGAUUCCCGUGACCGUUGUAGGUCACCCGGGCUGCCGGCGGCCGCGGUAAUAAAGUAUCUUUUUUUUUUUUUUCUUUUGAGGAGAGAAAGUGUGAGGGGGGGAUAUCAGGACAGAAAGCGUGGGGUUUUUUGUUAUUUUUUUUUUUAGAAAAAGUGUGGUGGGGUGGUGGUUCUAGGAACGUGGUGGGGGAGAAAAAUGGAGCGUGGUGGGGGUUUUGGGGGGAGAAAAAUGGCUUUUUUUUUACGAGACAACGUGGGGGCUUUCGGGUUCCUUUCUUAUUUUAAGGAAAGAAAAGGCCCGGUGUGUGUGGGGAGGGGGUGGGCUGAGGCCUGGCGGCGCCGGGGGCCUCCCGCCCCGUCACGGCCGGGCCGGGGCAGCACCGCCCUCCAUCUUGGGAGCGGGGCGAGGCCCGUGUGGUGCUCUGAGGACAAAAGGGUCAUUAGCUGGGCGGCGUGCGGGUGCGGGCCCCCGCCAAGGUCGUGGACACGGGAGGGGGCUUCUUCCUGGAGGAGGAGGAGGAGGAGGAUGAGAAGGAGGAGGAAGAGCACGGCGGCGCCGCCAGGAUCGUGCGUCCGCCCGCGCGAUUUCUGGCGCGUCUGCAUCCAUCGGUAUUCGAGCGGGUCGCGAGCGAGACGCGAUGAAAAAGGAAGAAUUUUAAGCCGCGGAAGUGGGACGCCGCGUGUGCCCUUGGGCUUAGCGGCUUUUUUCCUAACCCCCGCACCUGUGCUAGAGUUUGACUAUCUCAUCUGUGGAGACUGUGGCAAAGAAUUCAUGGAUUCCUACCUUAUGCAGCACUUUGAUUGGGCAACUUGUGAUAAUUGCAGAGAUGCCGAAGAUAAACAUAAGCUUAUAACAAGGACAGAAGCAAAAGAAGAGUAUCUUCUUAAAGACUGUGACUUAGACAAGAGGGAACCAGUGCUCAGAUUUAUUGUGAAGAAAAACCCUCACAACCCUCGGUGGGGUGACAUGAAACUUUAUUUAAAACUGCAGGGGAAAAAAGAAACACAUUUAUGUCCAUCCUGUAGGUAAUCAAGCGUUCUCUUGAAGUCUGGGGUAGUGAAGAAUCAUUGCAAGAAGCAAAGGAACUCCGCCGUGACAGCAGAGAGAAGAUGAAACAGAAGAAGUUUGAUAAGAAGGUUAAAGAGCUCCGUCGUGCAGUGAGGAGCAGUUUGUGGAAGAGAGCAGCUAGCAUCCAUGAACAUGAAUAUGGACCAGAAGAAAACAUUGAUGAAGACACUUA
Cygnus olor (mute swan) is the source of this 1634-nucleotide RNA transcript. It is a transcript of the gene named XPA, DNA damage recognition and repair factor, with no coding region annotated. The record is from RefSeq and is a predicted model, not a curated record. NCBI's taxonomy places the organism in Eukaryota, Metazoa, Chordata, Aves, Anseriformes, Anatidae. The transcript has 8 exons.